CAGCCGCCGCGGGAACACCGAGGGUGCAAGCGUUAAUCGGAAUUACUGGGCGUAAAGCGCGCGUAGGUGGUUUGUUAAGUUGGAUGUGAAAGCCCCGGGCUCAACCUGGGAACUGCAUCCAAAACUGGCAAGCUAGAGUACGGUAGAGGGUGGUGGAAUUUCCUGUGUAGCGGUGAAAUGCGUAGAUAUAGGAAGGAACACCAGUGGCGAAGGCGACCACCUGGACUGAUACUGACACUGAGGUGCGAAAGCGUGGGGAGCAAACAGGAUUAGAUACCCCGGUAGUCCCUGUCUCUUAUAC
This 301-nucleotide ribosomal RNA is filed under the name uncultured bacterium. RNAcentral describes it as "partial 16S ribosomal RNA". It matches the Rfam family "Bacterial small subunit ribosomal RNA", at positions 509 to 807 of the family's 1533-position model. The record is from RNAcentral.